UUAAUUGAAACCAAAAAAGAGGUCUAUCACUGUUAAUGAUAAAAAUGAAUUUAUUCCAAUUAAA
RNAcentral lists this transfer RNA (64 nucleotides) under Crepidodera sp. BMNH 846615. RNAcentral describes it as "tRNA-Asn". The record is from RNAcentral. Lineage: Eukaryota; Metazoa; Arthropoda; Insecta; Coleoptera; Chrysomelidae.